Molecule: long non-coding RNA, 204 nt
Filed under: Gossypium raimondii (Peruvian cotton)
Lineage: Eukaryota; Viridiplantae; Streptophyta; Magnoliopsida; Malvales; Malvaceae
Description: long non-coding RNA (GRAI_LNC011175)
Source: RNAcentral
GAAUCAAAGGAAAUUAUUAUUUCUAAACUUAUUUUUAUGAUGAUUAGAAGCAUAUUUACAUAAUUUGAGUGAUAAUUGCAUGAUUUUUUAUUAGUGUCAUCUUUUUCAAAAUCUUAAGGUGCUUUAAUGGUGGAUCUUGAAUUUUGAGAGGAAAUUCACAAAUCAAUGCAUGUUUCAACUCAAAAUGGAUCUAUUAGAAAUUUC